Ochotona curzoniae (black-lipped pika) is the source of this 149-nucleotide long non-coding RNA. RefSeq lists it as uncharacterized. Lineage: Eukaryota; Metazoa; Chordata; Mammalia; Lagomorpha; Ochotonidae. The record is from RefSeq and is a predicted model, not a curated record. The transcript is spliced from 3 exons.
UAUGGGCACUGAUUCUAAUGCCAGCUGCCCUGCUUCCCAUCCAGCUUCCUGCUUGUGGCCUGGGAAAGUAGUCUUGGACGAACCAAAGCCUUGUGUUCCUGCACCCCAUGUGGGAGACCCAGAAGAAGUUCCUGACUCCUGGCUUCAGA